RNAcentral lists this ribosomal RNA (253 nucleotides) under uncultured bacterium. RNAcentral describes it as "partial 16S ribosomal RNA". It matches the Rfam family "Bacterial small subunit ribosomal RNA", at positions 524 to 776 of the family's 1533-position model. The record is from RNAcentral.
UACGGGGGGGGCAAGCGUUGUUCGGAAUUACUGGGCGUAAAGGGCUCGUAGGCGGCCAACUAAGUCAGACGUGAAAUCCCUCGGCUUAACCGGGGAACUGCAUCUGAUACUGGAUGGCUUGAGUUCGGGAGAGGGAUGCGGAAUUCCAGGUGUAGCGGUGAAAUGCGUAGAUAUCUGGAGGAACACCGGUGGCGAAGGCGGCAUCCUGGACCGGUAUUGACGCUGAGGCGCGAAAGCUAGGGGAGCAAACGGG